GAUGAGCGCUGGUGGCGUGCCUAACACAUGCAAGUCGAGCGAUUCUCUUCGGAGAAGAGCGGCGGACGGGUGAGUAACGCGUGGGUAACCUGCCCUGUACACACGGAUAACAUACCGAAAGGUAUGCUAAUACGAGAUAACAUGCUUUUAUCGCAUGGUAGAAGUAUCAAAGCUUUUGCGGUACAGGAUGGACCCGCGUCUGAUUAGCUAGUUGGUGAGGUAACGGCUAACCAAGGCGACGCUCAGUAGCCGACCUGAGAGGGUGAUCGGCCACAUUGGAACUGAGACACGGUCCAAACUCCUACGGGAGGCAGCAGUGGGGAAUAUUGCACAAUGGGCGAAAGCCUGAUGCAGCAACGCCGCGUGAGCGAUGAAGGCCUUCGGGUCGUAAAGCUCUGUCCUCAAGGAAGAUAAUGACGGUACUUGAGGAGGAAGCCCCGGCUAACUACGUG
This 452-nucleotide ribosomal RNA is filed under the name uncultured bacterium. RNAcentral describes it as "partial 16S ribosomal RNA". It matches the Rfam family "Bacterial small subunit ribosomal RNA", at positions 28 to 507 of the family's 1533-position model. The record is from RNAcentral.